Molecule: ribosomal RNA, 1019 nt
Filed under: uncultured bacterium
Lineage: Bacteria
Description: bacterial SSU rRNA
Rfam family: Bacterial small subunit ribosomal RNA
Source: RNAcentral
CUGCAAGUCGUACGGUGUAGCAAUACACAGUGGCGAACGGGUGAGUAAUGAAUCGCUAAUGUACCCCGGACUCUGGGAUAGCUGCCCGAAAGGGCAGGUAAUACCAGAUGAUAUAUCCUUAUCGCAUGAUGAGGAUCUCAAAGGUCCGCCGGUCUGGGAGCAGGCGAUUUUGUAUCAGCUAGUUGGUGAGGUAACGGCUCACCAAGGCGAUGACGCAUAGCCGGACUGAGAGGUUGGCCGGCCACAUUGGGACUGAGACACUGCCCAGACUCCUACGGGGGGCUGCAGUAACGAAUCUUCCGCAAUGCACGAAAGUGUGACGGAGCGACGCCGCGUGUGGGACGAAGCCCUUCGGGGUGUAAACCACUGUCAGGGGAUAGAAAGUUCUGAUCAUCCCCAGAGGAAGGCACGGCUAACUCUGUGCCAGCAGCCGCGGUAAGACAGAGGUGCCAAGCGUUAGGCGGAAUCACUGGGCUUAAAGCGUGUGUAGGCGGGUUCGUAAGUACCUUGUGAAAUCCCACGGCUUAACCGUGGAACUGCUCGGUAUACUGCGAGUCUUGAGCCAACUAGGGGCUACUGGAACAAAUGGUGGAGCGGUGAAAUGCGUAGAUAUCAUUUGGAACGCCAAUGGUGAAAACAGGUAGCUGGGGUUGUGCUGACGCUGAGACACGAAAGCCAGGGGAGCAAACGGGAUUAGAUACCCCGGUAGUCCUGGCUGUAAACGAUGUCGACUAGAUCGCAGUGCCUCUGACGGUAUUGCGGUCGUAGCAAAAGUGCUAAGUCGACCGCCUGGGAAGUACGGUCGCAAGGCUAAAACUCAAAGGAACUGACGGGGGCUCACACAAGCGGUGGAGCAUGUGGUUUAAUUCGAAGCAACGCGCAGAACCUUACCUGGGCUUGACUAGCUAGGAUUAUCUCUAUGAAAGUAGAGUAGGCCCUUCGGGGUACAACUAGUACAGGUGCUGCAUGGCUGUCGUCAGCUCGUGUCGUGAGAUGUCGGGUUAGUCCCUUACGAGCGA